This 497-nucleotide ribosomal RNA is filed under the name uncultured bacterium. Its description in RNAcentral is "partial 16S ribosomal RNA". It matches the Rfam family "Bacterial small subunit ribosomal RNA", at positions 28 to 507 of the family's 1533-position model. The record is from RNAcentral.
GAUGAACGCUGGCGGCGUGCCUAAUACAUGCAAGUCGAGCGAACGGACGAGAAGCUUGCUUUUCUGAUGUUAGCGGCGGACGGGUGAGUAACACGUGGAUAACCUACCUAUAAGACUGGGAUAACUUCGGGAAACCGGAGCUAAUACCGGAUAAUAUUUUGAACCGCAUGGUUCAAAAGUGAAAGACGGUCUUGCUGUCACUUAUAGAUGGAUCCGCGCUGCAUUAGCUAGUUGGUAAGGUAACGGCUUACCAAGGCAACGAUGCAUAGCCGACCUGAGAGGAGGUCCGGCCACACUGGAACUGAGCCCCGGCCCAGACCCCUACGGGAGGCAGCAGUGGGGAUUUUUCCGCAAGGGGCGAAAGCCGGACGGAGCAACGCCGCGUGGGUGAUGAAGGUCUUCGGGUCGUAAACCUCUUUUGUUGGGAAAGAACAUGUUUGUACAAAUCUGUCCACUCGUUGACGGUACCUAAAGAAAAAGCCACGGCUAACUACGUG